Molecule: unclassified non-coding RNA, 2944 nt
Filed under: Hevea brasiliensis (rubber tree)
Lineage: Eukaryota; Viridiplantae; Streptophyta; Magnoliopsida; Malpighiales; Euphorbiaceae
Source: RNAcentral
GUCAAAGUCAAAGUCGACUGCGUGUCCGUACUCCCCAGUAUGGCAUCAUCGGGAGUUCUGCGCCCUUUUAAUUGUCUCCUCCUUUGACGAGGCGAAUCAACGACUGGUAGAGUUGGUUCUGCAUAUGAGAUGACGUCAGUGGCGGUUGCGGUAAACGGCGGCGAAGGAGUCGGUGGAAGGGGAAGCCGACGAGCCGUUAAGUGGGCGGUCGAAAAUUUAUUCCCCAAAACCCAUCGGUUCAUCUUAGUCCACGUCAUUCCAGCCAUCACGUUUAUACCCACUCCAUCUGGAGACCGUAUCCCCAUUGAAGAACUAGACGAGAAUGUGGUGGCACUGUACGUGCAGGAGGUGAAAUUGAAGUUUGAUGAAAUCUUUGUACCCUUUAGAAAGCUAUGCAAGGCACAAAAGGUGGAAACUUUGGUGCUAGAGCAUGACAAUCCCGCGACUGCGCUUUUAAACUAUGUAUCACAAUCGGGGAUUGACAUUUUAGUGUUGGGUUCUUGGUCUCCCAAUUGUAUAAUCAGGAAGCUGAAGGGACCAGGGAUACCAAAAACUGUGCUGAAUGGUGCUCCAGAAACAUGCAAUGUUCACAUUGUAUCUAAGCGCAAAAUCUUCACAAAGUCAACAUAUUCCUCUUCCAUUAGCGAGACCAGCUUUAGGCACAGGAUGUCUAAUAGAAGAGAUUAUAAGAAAAGCUCCAGCAGCAUCAAUAAUUUAAUUUCUGAGCCUGAGCUUUAUUCUUCCAUUGUGGAAUCCAAAGUUCAGAAGUCCUUUGAAGCAUCAUCCGUGUCUCACUUUAGUGUGCAAGGCUCUCAAGGUUCAACAAAAACUGAAUCGGUAAAAUUGUUUUCUUCACUUAUAUACCACUAUGGUGUUUGAGAAGGUUUUGAUAUGGACUGUUCCCCCCUUUUGCAGUCAUAUGUGCAGGCUGAAAUAGAACAACUACGGCUAGAAUUACAAAAUACCAUUACCUUGUAUAAACGAGCUUGUGAAGAGCUGGUCCAUACUCAGAGCCAGGUUGAAUUAGUUUCUUCUGAGUGUGUCAAGGACGCUAGAAGAGUGAAUGCUGCCCUGGAAAGAGAAGAAAUAUUGAGGAAAAUUGCUGUUGAAGAGAAAGCAAGGUAUUUGCAAGCCAAGAAAGAGAUAGAGGAGGCUAAAAAUUUGUUUGCUAAAGAAGCUUAUGAAAGGCAGAUGGCUGAGCUCAGGGCCGAUAAAGAGUCCUCUGAGAAACAGAGAAUUGUUGAUGCACUUUUCAUGAGUGAUAGGAGGUACAAAAAGUACACUAGGGAUGAAGUAGAGUUGGUAACAAAUUUCUUUUCUGAGAGUAAUGUGAUUGGUGAAGGAGGGUAUGGGAAAGUAUAUAAAUGCAAUCUUGAUCAUACCCCAGUAGCAGUUAAGGUUCUCAGGUCUGAUGCAGUUAACAAGAAAGAGGAAUUCUUAAGAGAGGUUGAAGUUCUAAGCCAACUGCAUCAUCCGCACUUAGUUUUGCUGCUUGGAGCUUGCCCUGAGAGUGGUUGUCUGGUCUAUGAAUACUUGGAAAAUGGAAGCCUGGAGGAGUGUAUCUUCCACCGAAAUGAAAAACCACCUCUUCCUUGGUUUGUUCGGUUCCGGAUAGUUUUUGAAGUGGCUUGUGCACUCGCAUUCUUACAUAACUCAAAGCCAGAGCCUGUUGUCCAUCGGGAUCUAAAACCGGGUAAUAUAUUGUUGGACAGGAAUUAUGUGAGCAAAAUUGGAGAUGUUGGGCUGGCUAAGCUCAUUACAGAUAUUGUUCCUGACAACAUCACGGAGUAUAAAGAAUCUAUUCUUGCUGGUACUCUGUGCUACAUUGAUCCUGAGUACCAGAGAACUGGAACUGUCAGACCAAAAUCAGAUCUAUAUGCCUUUGGCAUUAUAAUUCUCCAAUUAUUAACAGCUCAUCAUCCAAGUGGACUUGUGUUAACUGUUGAAAAUGCCUUCAGAAAAGGCUGCUUUGCGGACAUUCUAGAUACAUCAGUUGCAGAUUGGCCACUUGCUGAAACAGAGGAAUUAGCUAAAAUUGCAUUGCAGUGCUCAAAACUUAGAUGCAGGGACAGACCUGAUCUUGAUACUGAAGUUCUACCAGUUCUUAGAAGGCUUGCAGGUGUAGCAGCUGCUAGUGUAAAGGUGGAAGGACCCAAUACCUACGCACCAAGCCACUACUUCUGUCCAAUUCUUCAGGAAAUAAUGGAUGAUCCAUACAUUGCUUCUGAUGGUUUCACAUACGAGCAUAGAGCUAUUAAGGCGUGGCUUCAGAGGCACAGUGUGUCACCAGUGACAAAGCUUAGGCUUCAGAAUUCUAUGUUAACCCCAAACCACACAUUACGUUCAGCCUUACAGGAGUGGAGGUCACGUUUAUAUUUUCAAGAACCUUAAAAGAUAUUUGAAUUAUGGGCUUAAUGCUCAACUUCACCCCUGAAUUUUUAUUGGGAUGUUCAAUUUAGUUUAUUUUUAACAUUUUUGUCAAAUUAGCUUAGAAGUUUCAAUUUAAACUUAAUUUAGUUCAAAAAUCAAGAAAUUGAAUUUCUUAAUAGUGGGACAAUAAAUUUAGUUCAAAAAUUUUAAUUUUUGAGCUAAAUUGAGUUUAAAUUGAAAUUUUUUAGUUAAUUUGGAUAUAAAGUUAAAAAAACAAGCUAAAUUGAACAUUUACUGUGUGAAAUUGAAUAUUUAGCCUUUGAAUUAUGUGCCACCUCAAGCGCUCCGAAAAUAGAAACAAGAAGAUGAUGUCCCAAGCUUCUUCUUUUGCAUUAUGCUUCUAGUGUUGAGAUACCAGCAAAAAUGUACAACUAUGUGAGGUUUAGAGUAUUGAAUUAAUUAUGUUAGGUUGAAGGAAAAUUGAUGGUGCUUCAAACAAUUCAUAAGAUGUAAAUUUUAUGUCUGAACAUACAAAGUUUUGAGUUUGAAAUGUAUAAUUUAAAUGUGAAAUAUG